This 253-nucleotide ribosomal RNA is filed under the name uncultured bacterium. RNAcentral's name for it is "partial 16S ribosomal RNA". It matches the Rfam family "Bacterial small subunit ribosomal RNA", at positions 524 to 776 of the family's 1533-position model. The record is from RNAcentral.
UACGUAGGGGGCAAGCGUUGUCCGGAUUUAUUGGGCGUAAAGAGCGUGUAGGCGGCCAGGUAGGUCUGCUGUGAAAACUCGAGGCUUAACCUCGAGAUGUCGGCGGAAACCAUCUGGCUAGAGUCCGGAAGAGGAGAGCGGAAUUCCUGGUGUAGCGGUGAAAUGCGUAGAUAUCUGGAGGAACACCGGUGGCGAAGGCGAUCACCUGGGGUUGUUCUGACGCUGAGGAGCGAAAGCUAGGGGAGCAAACGGG